Molecule: ribosomal RNA, 649 nt
Filed under: uncultured bacterium
Lineage: Bacteria
Description: bacterial SSU rRNA
Rfam family: Bacterial small subunit ribosomal RNA
Source: RNAcentral
CAGGCCUAACACAUGCAAGUCGAGCGCGCCUUCGGGUGAGCGGCGGACGGGUUAGUAACGCGUGGGAACGUGCCCUUCUCUACGGAAUAGCCUCUGGAAACGGAGAGUAAUACCGUAUACGCCCUUUGGGGGAAAGAUUUAUCGGAGAAGGAUCGGCCCGCGUUAGAUUAGGUAGUUGGUGGGGUAACGGCCUACCAAGCCUACGAUCUAUAGCUGGUUUUAGAGGAUGAUCAGCAACACUGGGACUGAGACACGGCCCAGACUCCUACGGGAGGCAGCAGUGGGGAAUCUUAGACAAUGGGGGCAACCCUGAUCUAGCCAUGCCGCGUGAGUGAUGAAGGCCUUAGGGUCGUAAAGCUCUUUCGCCUGUGAUGAUAAUGACAGUAGCAGGUAAAGAAACCCCGGCUAACUCCGUGCCAGCAGCCGCGGUAAUACGGAGGGGGUUAGCGUUGUUCGGAAUUACUGGGCGUAAAGCGCGCGUAGGCGGAUUAGAAAGUUGGGGGUGAAAGCCCGGGGCUCAACCCCGGAAUUGCAUUUGAAACUGGGUAACUAGAACAAGAUAGGGGAAGACGGAAUUCCCAGUGUAGAAGUGAAAUUCGUAGAUAUUGGGAGGAACACCAGAGGCGAAGGCGGUCUUCUGGAUCUUUGU